This 801-nucleotide ribosomal RNA is filed under the name uncultured bacterium. RNAcentral describes it as "bacterial SSU rRNA". It matches the Rfam family "Bacterial small subunit ribosomal RNA", at positions 67 to 869 of the family's 1533-position model. The record is from RNAcentral.
GGUAGAAGGAGCUUGCUCCUUUGAGACCGGCGCACGGGUGCGUAACGCGUAUAGAACCUACCUUUUACAGAGGGAUAGCCCAGAGAAAUUUGGAUUAAUACCUCAUAAUAUUAUUGGAUGGCAUCAUUUGAUAAUUAAAGUUUCGGCGGUAAAAGAUGGCUAUGCGUCCUAUUAGUUAGUUGGAGGGGUAACGGCUCACCAAGACAUCGAUAGGUAGGGGUCCUGAGAGGGAGAUCCCCCACACUGGUACUGAGACACGGACCAGACUCCUACGGGAGGCAGCAGUGAGGAAUAUUGGACAAUGGGCGCAAGCCUGAUCCAGCCAUGCCGCGUGCAGGAAGACGGCCCUAUGGGUUGUAAACUGCUUUUAUACAGGAAGAAACACUCCCUCGUGAGGGAACUUGACGGUACUGUAUGAAUAAGCACCGGCUAACUCCGUGCCAGCAGCCGCGGUAAUACAGGGGGUGCAAGCGUUGUUCGGAAUUACUGGGCGUAAAGGGAGCGUAGGCGGAAUUGCAAGACAGAGGUUAAAUCUCCGGGCUCAACCUGGAACUUGCCUUUGUGACUGCAGUUCUUGAGUAUGGUAGAGGUCAGUGGAAUUUCCGGUGUAGCGGUGGAAUGCGUAGAGAUCGGAAAGAACACCAGAGGCGAAGGCGACUGACUGGACCAAUACUGACGCUGAGGCUCGAAAGCGUGGGGAGCAAACAGGAUUAGAUACCCUGGUAGUCCACGCUGUAAACGAUGAACACUAGAUGUCGGGAGGGGUUCCUUCCGGUGUCGUCGCUAACGCAGUAAGUGUUC